Molecule: long non-coding RNA, 468 nt
Organism: Amphibalanus amphitrite
Lineage: Eukaryota; Metazoa; Arthropoda; Thecostraca; Balanomorpha; Balanidae
Exons: 2
Source: RefSeq, a predicted model, not a curated record
UGGAACGUAGUGCUCCCGGUUUUAUUUUUUUAAAGCGACCUUUUCUGAAGUGUCAACCAACCAAGGAUCAAACACUGGUCGUUGCGGGGAUCGGCUUCAGAGGGUCAAGGAUGGCGUCUUGAAUCGCUGUUCAGUCGACAGGCAACUGUAUGACAACGCCAUCCCUGUCAACCAGAGCGUCGACCGAAGUAGGGCGGCGUUGCGCGGACCUGGCCGCACCCGACCAACCGGUGGAGUACCUGACUCGGGCUGGGCGGAGACUACCUACAUCACGACCUUUUGAACUUUGAUCUCGUGGCGAGAAACAAUAUGACGUAAGGAAGUGUGUAUGUGGCUGGCGGGGCCGAGGGUGAAAUGCGCCACGUGUUUAUCCUGCCGGAUGACGACAGCGUCACCAACCUGUCAAAGAACGAGCUGGUGCAGCGCGUGAUGACUGCUAUCUCGUCCCUAGAACCGGAGUAGAAAAAC